UACGUAGGGUGCAAGCGUUAAUCGGAAUUACUGGGCGUAAAGCGUGCGCAGGCGGUUUUGUAAGUCUGUCGUGAAAGCCCCGGGCUCAACCUGGGAAUUGCGAUGGAGACUGCAAGGCUUGAAUCUGGCAGAGGGGGGUAGAAUUCCACGUGUAGCAGUGAAAUGCGUAGAGAUGUGAGGAACACCGAUGGCGAAGGCAGCCCCCUGGGUCAAGAUUGACGCUCAUGCACGAAAGCGUGGGGAGCAAACAGG
RNAcentral lists this ribosomal RNA (252 nucleotides) under uncultured bacterium. RNAcentral describes it as "partial 16S ribosomal RNA". It matches the Rfam family "Bacterial small subunit ribosomal RNA", at positions 524 to 776 of the family's 1533-position model. The record is from RNAcentral.